GGUAACGUGGCCGAGCGGUCCAAGGCGCUAGUUUCAGGUACUAGUCUCGCAAGAGGCGUGAGUUCGAAUCUCACCGUUGCCA
This 82-nucleotide transfer RNA is filed under the name Sphaerobolus stellatus SS14. RNAcentral's name for it is "tRNA-Leu (CAG) (tRNA-Leu-CAG-1-1)". It matches the Rfam family "tRNA". From Rfam's summary of the family: Transfer RNA (tRNA) molecules are approximately 80 nucleotides in length. Their secondary structure includes four short double-helical elements and three loops (D, anti-codon, and T loops). Further hydrogen bonds mediate the characteristic L-shaped molecular structure. tRNAs have two regions of fundamental functional importance: the anti-codon, which is responsible for specific mRNA codon recognition, and the 3' end, to which the tRNAs corresponding amino acid is attached (by aminoacyl-tRNA synthetases). tRNAs cope with the degeneracy of the genetic code in two manners: having more than one tRNA (with a specific anti-codon) for a particular amino acid; and 'wobble' base-pairing, i.e. permitting non-standard base-pairing at the 3rd anti-codon position. The record is from RNAcentral. Lineage: Eukaryota; Fungi; Basidiomycota; Agaricomycetes; Geastrales; Sphaerobolaceae.